Molecule: ribosomal RNA, 194 nt
Filed under: uncultured eukaryote
Lineage: Eukaryota
Description: partial 18S ribosomal RNA
Rfam family: Eukaryotic small subunit ribosomal RNA
Source: RNAcentral
GGAACCUGGUUGAUCCUGCCAGUAGCAUACGCUUGUCUCAAAGAUUAAGCCAUGCAUGUCUAAGUAUAAGCAAAUUUAUACGUGAAACUGCGAAUGGCUCAUUAUAUCAGUUAUAGUUUCUUUGAUGGUCCUUGCUACUUGGAUAACCGUAGUAACUCUAGAGCUAAUACAUGCAUCAAUCCCCGAUUCCUGGA